This 473-nucleotide unclassified non-coding RNA is filed under the name Hevea brasiliensis (rubber tree). Lineage: Eukaryota; Viridiplantae; Streptophyta; Magnoliopsida; Malpighiales; Euphorbiaceae. The record is from RNAcentral.
GCCAUAUGAGAAUGGUCUUUUCCGUAUGAAGCUGUUACUGUCUAGUGACUUCCCACACUCUCCACCCAAAGGUUUGUGAAUAACUGCCGUUAUGAAUUAAUUAUACUUCAUCAUUGUUUAUUCAAUUUAGUUCCCAAAGGUUUUUGGCAAAGGUGCUUUUGUUUACAUGAUAGUGCAAAGUUCAGUUUCUGUUAGGGAUUGCUAUUCUAGGUAGCUAAAUUUUAUAUGGGCCAAAUGACGAAAAAAUUUCAAAUUUCUAUAUGCAUUUUUCAAUUUUAGUUAAAGCUUUUAAUUUUAUCAAUUUGAUCCUUAAACUUUGAUAUGGAUUUCAAUUUUAUUAAUUAAAUUAUUUUGUACCCAAAAUUACUUAAGUCGAGUUGGAUUUUUUAAUAUAAAUUUUUUGUACUAGUCAGCAUGCUAUGUUAGUGAUUUUAUUUAUGUUGCGACAAUUAAAACUUGAUGUUGUAGGGUAC